ACUUGGUCCCUGCAGCUCCAGAGGCGAUCCUGGCAAUUACAGACCGGUAAGCAUAAUUUCAGUACCAGGCACAUUGGUUGAUACUAUAGUAAAGACCAGAAUUAUCAGACACACAGAUGAACAUGAUAUAUUGAGGAAGAGUCAACAUGGAUUUUGUAAAAGGAAAUCAUGCCUCACCAAUCAAUUAGAAUUCUUUGAGGGGGUCAGCAAACA
Long non-coding RNA from Chelonia mydas (Green sea turtle), 213 nucleotides. RefSeq lists it as uncharacterized. NCBI's taxonomy places the organism in Eukaryota, Metazoa, Chordata, Testudines, Cheloniidae. The transcript is spliced from 3 exons. The record is from RefSeq and is a predicted model, not a curated record.